This 253-nucleotide ribosomal RNA is filed under the name uncultured Gemmata sp. RNAcentral's name for it is "partial 16S ribosomal RNA". It matches the Rfam family "Bacterial small subunit ribosomal RNA", at positions 524 to 776 of the family's 1533-position model. Lineage: Bacteria; Pseudomonadati; Planctomycetota; Planctomycetia; Gemmatales; Gemmataceae. The record is from RNAcentral.
GACGAACCGAGCGAACGUUGUUCGGAAUCACUGGGCUUAAAGGGCGCGUAGGCGGGCUGUCAAGUCUGGGGUGAAAUCCCGCGGCUCAACCGUGGAACUGCCUUAGAUACUGACGGUCUCGAGGGGGAUAGGGGCGAGCGGAACUAAUGGUGGAGCGGUGAAAUGCGUUGAUAUCAUUAGGAACUCCGGUGGCGAAGGCGGCUCGCUGGAUCUCUUCUGACGCUGAGGCGCGAAAGCCAGGGGAGCAAACGGG